This 419-nucleotide ribosomal RNA is filed under the name Doriprismatica atromarginata. RNAcentral's name for it is "partial 16S ribosomal RNA". It matches the Rfam family "Archaeal large subunit ribosomal RNA", at positions 2003 to 2680 of the family's 2987-position model. The record is from RNAcentral. Lineage: Eukaryota; Metazoa; Mollusca; Gastropoda; Nudibranchia; Chromodorididae.
AAUGGCCGCGGUACCUUGACCGUGCUAAGGUAGCGCAAUCAGUUGGCUCUUAAUUGGGGUCAGGAAUGAAUGGAGUUACGGAGUUUUACUGUCUCUUAGUUAAUUAUUCUAAAUUACUAUUUAGGUGAAAAAGCCUAAUAAUAGAAAGGGGACGAGAAGACCCUUAGAGUUUGACCUAUAUAAAUUUUAGAAAUUGUGUUUAUAAUGGUUUAGUUGGGGCAACGUAGGAGCAAUAAGGAAAGAGUAAAAUCUCCUAAAUUUUAUUAAUCGAUAUUUUUAAAUUUGAAUAAGCUACCUUAGGGAUAACAGCAUAAUUUAAUAAAUAAGUUUGUGACCUCGAUGUUGGACUAGGAAACUUAAAGGCUAGCCGUCUUUAAGGAAAGUUCUGUUCGAACUAUUAUUCCUACAUGAUCUGAGUU